AUUUCCGGUUGAUCCUGCCGGACCCGACUGCUAUCGGAUUGGGAUUUAGCCAUGUUAGUUGCGCGUUCUCUGGCUACAGGGGACGCAGCGCACGGCUCAGUAACACGUAGUCAACCUGCCCUGGAGACGUGGACAAACCCGGGAAACUGGGGCUGAUCCACGAUAGAUGACUUCAUCUGGAAGGAGAGGUCGUCCAAAAGGCGGCGCGAGUAUGCUUCGCGUCUUCCGCUCCAGGAUGGGACUGCGGCCGAUCAGGCUGUUGGCGGGGUAAUGGCCCACCAAACCUGUAACCGGUACGGGCUUUGAGAGAAGGAGCCCGGAGAUGGACACUGAGACAAGGGUCCAGGCCCUACGGGGCGCAUCAGGCGCGAAAACUUCACAAUGCGCGAAAGCGUGAUGAGGCUAGUCCGAGUGCCUUCCGCUGAGGAGGGCUUUUCUCGGCUGUAAAUAGGCCGGGGAAUAAGGGGAGGGCAAGUCUGGUGUCAGCCGCCGCGGUAAUACCAGCUCCUCGAGUGGUCGGGACGAUUAUUGGGCCUAAAGCACCCGUAGCCGGUUCAGUAAGUCCUCUGUUAAAUCCAACCGCUCAACGGUUGGUCCGCAGAGGAUACUGCUGGACUAGGAGGCGGGAGAGGCGGACGGUACUCCGCGUGUAGGGGUAAAAUCCUUUGAUCCGCGGAAGACCACCAGUGGCGAAGGCGGUCCGCCAGAACGCGCUCGACGGUGA
RNAcentral lists this ribosomal RNA (724 nucleotides) under uncultured archaeon. Its description in RNAcentral is "bacterial SSU rRNA". It matches the Rfam family "Archaeal small subunit ribosomal RNA", at positions 1 to 700 of the family's 1478-position model. The record is from RNAcentral.